This 422-nucleotide ribosomal RNA is filed under the name uncultured prokaryote. RNAcentral describes it as "bacterial SSU rRNA". It matches the Rfam family "Bacterial small subunit ribosomal RNA", at positions 355 to 774 of the family's 1533-position model. The record is from RNAcentral.
UGAGGAAUAUUGGUCAAUGGGCGCAAGCCUGAACCAGCCAUCCCGCGUGAAGGAAGAAGGCGCUAUGCGUUGUAAACUUCUUUUCCAGGGGGCGAACGUUCCGUACGUGUACGGGAGUGACGGUACCCUGCGAAUAAGCAUCGGCUAACUCCGUGCCAGCAGCCGCGGUAAUACGCAGGAUGCGAGCGUUAUCCGGAUUUAUUGGGUUUAAAGGGUGCGUAGGCGGAUUAAUAAGUCAGUGGUGAAAACCUGGAGCUUAACUGUGGAACUGCCGUUGAUACUGUUAGGCUUGAGUAUGGUAAAGGUAGGCGGAAUGUGUAAUGUAGCGGUGAAAUGCUUAGAUAUUACACAGAACACCGAUUGCGAAGGCAGCUUACUGGGCCGUUACUGACGCUGAUGCACGAAAGCGUGGGGAUCGAACA